Molecule: ribosomal RNA, 768 nt
Filed under: uncultured bacterium
Lineage: Bacteria
Description: bacterial SSU rRNA
Rfam family: Bacterial small subunit ribosomal RNA
Source: RNAcentral
CCUUGGAACUGCAUUUGAUACUGGCAAACUAGAGUAUGGUAGAGGAAUGGGGAAUUUCUGGUGUAGCGGUGAAAUGCGUAGAGAUCAGAAGGAACACCAAUGGCGAAGGCAACAUUCUGGACCAAUACUGACACUGAGGGACGAAAGCGUGGGGAUCAAACAGGAUUAGAUACCCUGGUAGUCCACGCUGUAAACGAUGAGUACUAGCUGUUGGAUUCGGUGUAAAGGAUCUAGUGGCGUAGCUAACGCGUUAAGUACUCCGCCUGGGGACUACGGCCGCAAGGCUAAAACUCAAAGGAAUUGACGGGGACCCGCACAAGCGGUGGAGCAUGUGGUUUAAUUCGAUGCAACGCGAAGAACCUUACCUGGUCUUGACAUCCUGCGAACUUUCUAGAGAUAGAUUGGUGCCUUCGGGAACGCAGUGACAGGUGCUGCACGGCUGUCGUCAGCUCGUGUUGUGAAAUGUUGGGUUAAGUCCCGCAACGAGCGCAACCCCUAUUGAUAGUUACCAUCAUUAAGUUGGGUACUCUAUUGAGACUGCCGCUGACAAGGCGGAGGAAGGUGGGGACGACGUCAAGUCAUCAUGGCCCUUACGACCAGGGCUACACACGUGCUACAAUGGGUAUUACAGAGGGCAGCGAAGUAGCGAUAUGGAGCGAAACUCAGAAAGGUACUCUUAGUCCGGAUUGCAGUCUGCAACUCGACUGCAUGAAGUCGGAAUCGCUAGUAAUCGCAGGUCAGAAUACUGCGGUGAAUACGUUCCCGGGU